This 589-nucleotide ribosomal RNA is filed under the name Bacillus cereus. RNAcentral's name for it is "bacterial SSU rRNA". It matches the Rfam family "Bacterial small subunit ribosomal RNA", at positions 60 to 629 of the family's 1533-position model. Lineage: Bacteria; Bacillati; Bacillota; Bacilli; Caryophanales; Bacillaceae. The record is from RNAcentral.
AGUCGAGCGAAUGGAUUAAGAGCUUGCUCUUAUGAAGUUAGCGGCGGACGGCUGUGUAACACGUGGGUAACCUGCCCAUAAGACUGGGAUAACUCCGGGAAACCGGGGCUAAUACCGGAUAACAUUUUGAACCGCAUGGUUCGAAAUUGAAAGGCGGCUUCGGCUGUCACUUAUGGAUGGACCCGCGUCGCAUUAGCUAGUUGGUGAGGUAACGGCUCACCAAGGCAACGAUGCGUAGCCGACCUGAGAGGGUGAUCGGCCACACUGGGACUGAGACACGGCCCAGACUCCUACGGGAGGCAGCAGUAGGGAAUCUUCCGCAAUGGACGAAAGUCUGACGGAGCAACGCCGCGUGAGUGAUGAAGGCUUUCGGGUCGUAAAACUCUGUUGUUAGGGAAGAACAAGUGCUAGUUGAAUAAGCUGGCACCUUGACGGUACCUAACCAGAAAGCCACGGCUAACUACGUGCCAGCAGCCGCGGUAAUACGUAGGUGGCAAGCGUUAUCCGGAAUUAUUGGGCGUAAAGCGCGCGCAGGUGGUUUCUUAAGUCUGAUGUGAAAGCCCACGGCUCAACCGUGGAGGGUCAUUGG